GUCUAGUCUCUCUGUCUUCCUGUUCCAAACCACGUGGACGCGCCGGGGGCGGUGGGGCUGCGGGAGGCAGCCAGGGCCGCCACCGUCGUAGUAUUCCCCGCCGCUUGCGUUGCACCUCCGCGCCUGUCUGAAGUCGCCGCUUCCGGACUGCCAGCGCCUCUGCAGAGGGUGCGCACAUGGCGACCCAGGCACAGUGCCUCAGCUACGCGGGGUGCAACUUCUUGCGCCAGCGUCUGGUCCUGUCUACCCUGAGCGGGCGUCCGGUCAAAAUCCGAAAGAUACGGGCCAGAGACGACAACCCGGGCCUCCGAGAUUUUGAAGCCAGCUUCAUAAGGCUAUUGGACAAAAUAACUAAUGGUUCUCGAAUUGAAAUAAAUCAAACAGGAACAACUUUAUAUUAUCAGCCUGGCCUCCUGUCUGGUGGAUUUGUGGAACAUGACUGUAGUGUCCUUCGCAGCAUUGGCUAUUAUCUGGAGAGUCUUCUUUGCCUGGCUCCAUUUAUGAAGCACCCAUUAAAAGUAGUUCUGCGAGGAGUGACCAAUGACCAAGUUGAUCCUUCGGUUGAUGUUCUUAAGGCAACAGCACUCCCUCUGUUGAAACAGUUUGGGAUUGAUGGUGAAUCAUUUGAGCUAAAGAUUAUACGACGGGGGAUGCCUCCUGGAGGAGGAGGUGAAGUGAUGUUUUCCUGUCCUGUACGGAAGGUCCUGAAGCCUGUACAGCUCACAGAUCCAGGAAAAAUCAAACGUAUCAGAGGAAUGGCGUACUCUGUGCGUGUGUCACCUCAGAUGGCGAACCGGAUUGUGGACUCUGCAAGGAGCCUCCUCAACAAGUUUAUACCUGACAUCUAUAUUUACACAGACCACAUGAAGGGCGUCAACUCUGGGAAGUCUCCAGGCUUUGGGUUGUCACUGGUUGCUGAGACCACCAAUGGCACCUUCCUCAGUGCUGAGCUGGCCUCCAACCCCCAGGGCCAGGGAACAGCAGUGCUUCCAGAGGACCUUGGCAGGAACUGUGCCAGGCUGCUGCUCGAGGAAAUCUACAGGGGUGGCUGUGUGGACUCCACCAACCAAAGCCUGGCUCUACUGCUCAUGACCCUUGGACAGCAGGACGUUUCCAAAGUCCUGCUAGGACCACUCUCUCCCUACACGCAAUUAAAGGCAUUGUGCCUGAGAUCUGUAAGCUUGAAGGACCUAUGAAAAUGCUUCCAAGAAACCAGGUUAAAAAAAAAAUACUGGCUGCAAAUUAUGCAAAGAGCAAAAAUAUCUACAAAAUGAAAUGCUUCCCAGCUUGUUAAAAUAUUGAAGACAAUACAGAUAUGCCAUGAACAAUGUCUUGAAACAGUAUCUGGCACAGAGUAGGCAUUCAACAAAUAUUAAUUCAAUGAAUUAAUGAACACAGCACAGAAAAAAAACUAGACGGGUGUUGAAGUGAGGACUGAAUGAUCCAAUCUGCAGCUGGAUUCCCUCAUGGUUUUGAGAUGGAUGCCAGCAGCAACUGCAGCUUCUUUCACAGACUUCAGGUGAGAGAAAAUUGCUUCUCCGAUGUCAUUCUUUUUGUUUUUAUUUUUUUCACAAUCAGCUAAAAUUUUGUGAGUACAAGUAUUUUGUGCAUGUGUUAUGGAGUAUAAUGGGGUCUUCUCUGUUCAGGUAGAGUUGGACAGUGGCUCAGAAUUCAUCUAGUCCCAUUUCUAGAGAAGCCUGCAAAAUAUCUCAGGGCUGGCAUUGGAGAUGUGCAUACCUCCAGAAACGGGGAUCUUAUUACCUCAACAAGCCCCUUCCACAGUUGGGGACCUCCAGCUGCUGCCAUUUUCCUGCUGGCAGCCUCUAAGUUAGGUUGAAUGGGGGCAGAUACUAUCAUUCUAGCCCAGCCCUUGGGAUGAGAGAGGCAGCUGAGUGGGACAGAGACAGGAAAAGUAAGAAGUUAAAGCCCAGGAUGACUGAGCCAUGGCAGGGUGGAUGGGACAUUUCAGCGGAUCCCAGAAGCCCCUGCCUUACUCCAGCAGGUGCUGGAGAGAGACUACUGGAGGCAAGAUUCCAGGUGUGGGGCAGCUCAGAAAGCUGGGUUAUCAAUGUCCCUCUGAACCCCAGUAUAUCCUUCAGGCUGGGGGGAUUGGAGGGCUCUGUGGGAGUUAGGCCCAAGGAGGGCUUCAUAAUGACCUCAAGCAGCCCAAGAAGAAUUGUUCCCCUGGCUGCAGCUGUCACCACAAUGUUUGAAUGCUUUGGGGCAGGUGCUGCCCCAUGGUUGGCUGGCAGAGGGAGGGAGGAGAUGGAGGCUCCCUCUCUGGGUGGGAAAGUGGGAGGAUGGAUUCUGGCUGAAUUGGGAGAGGGUGGGGAUGAGAUGCCCCCACCCAGGAAAGCAGGCAGGGGAUGAUUUGGGUUGUUUCUUUCACACUCCACCCCAGAUUGGAAAUUACAGCCAAAGCCCCAGACUUACAAGGAGAGGUCACAUUUGGCUGCAACCUGUUGGAGGCCAACCAGCAGGCUGAGCAGCAAAGUAGGUUUCAGGCCCAAGACCCAAGUGUGGGACAUCCUGGCAUGGGGGCCACUAGCUUUAGUGUCUCAUCAUUAGUCUCUCUUAAGGCCAAGAAAACCUACCUAGAAGUCUUCAGCAACCAUCUCCUUGUGUCUUAUUGGCUGAAACUAAGUCAUAUGCUCAUUCCUACACCUAUCACUGGUUGACUUAUACUAAUCUAUCUGCCUUUGGAACCAGCUUCAUUCAAUCAAAAAUGCUACACAAGGAAGGGGAGAUACCUGAACAAAAUUGAGCUUCUGUAGGAAGGAUGAGGGAAAGAAUGAAUUCUGGGAAGAUAACCAACAUUAUCCACCUCUACGUAUUCUCCAACAGUAGCUUCUGAGAAAUGGCCUUGCUCUUUUCUUAAAGAUGCUUCAUAUUUUGUUUAUAGUAACUUGGGACAUUAUGUUUGACUCUCCAUUGACAGUUGAAAGCUCAAAGAUAAAUUUUGUGGCUCACUUAUAGGAAACAUGCAGAAAACUGUGGUAGUUUGUCUUCCCUUCCCUUCAUUCUUGCCUCCUAUUUAUGCUCCUAUUCUCUC
Molecule: RNA transcript, 3052 nt
Organism: Otolemur garnettii (small-eared galago)
Lineage: Eukaryota; Metazoa; Chordata; Mammalia; Primates; Galagidae
Gene: RCL1
Gene name: RNA terminal phosphate cyclase like 1
Exons: 11
Source: RefSeq, a predicted model, not a curated record